AAAACAGGGAGAGUAUCCCGGAUUAUCCAGGUGGUAUCAGUGGAAUCAUAAGGCUCUUUAGAAGUGUGGGGGGCGGAGCAGAAGAGGUCAGAGUGGUGUGACAUGAGGACUCCAACUGUUAUUGCCAGUUUAGAAGGUGAAGGAAGGGGCCACAAACCAAGGAGUGGGGCAGCCUCUAGAUGCUGGAAAAGGCAAGGAAACAGAUUCUUCCCUAGAGCCCCCAGCAGGAACCGAGCACUGCUGACACCUCGAUACCAGCCCAUUGAGACUCAUGCGGAACCUCCUCGAACCUACAGAGCUUUAAGGAAGAUUAGCCCUGAGCUAACAUCUGCCACCAAUCCUCCUCUUUUUGCUGAAGAAGACUGGCCCUGAGCUAACAUGUGUGCCCAUCUUCCUCUACUUUCUAUGUAGGACGCCUACCACAGCAUGGCUUGCCAAGUGGUGCCGUGUCCGCACCAGGGAUCCGAACUGGCGAACCCCAGGCCUCUAAAGCAGAACGUGCGAACUUAACCGCUGCACCACAGGGCCAGCCCCUGAAUUAACUUUUAGUUUCCUGAUAGGAAUAGAAGUGCACAACUUAGCCACAUUCUUUCCAGCUUCUAGUUCACAUUGUUAUUUUCAAAAUCAUCCUCCCAUCUUCACCCUCACACCCCUAAAUACGUAUGUAACAGAAGCAGUAUAUUUUAACUUUCCCCUUCUGUCAUAUUUUCGUUUCAUCCAAUCUCCGACUCUUGUGUGCAACACUCUCCAAGUUCUGCGCUCAGGGUCUGAUUCUGUUUUAACCACCCACAUCGAGAGAACUCCCUUCUUCCCAUGGCUGUGCUGUUGCCCUCCUUGAGGGAGAGCACACGGACCAUAUGAGGAGCUCAUGCAUGGCGAGCUGACCUGGAGCUCUCUGUAGCUUUCCAGUCCUCCACCCUCAAGACCGUGUGCAUUUUUCUGAAGACUGACGGGACACCAUAGCAGUAAAAGCAGGCAUGGUGACUCAUGUCAGCAGGGAGAGAUUUCUACUAAAUUAAAAAACCAUUGUUAAAGGGAGAUGUUCAUCAACUGAUGCAUGGAUAAACAAUAUGGUGCAUCCAUACAAUGGAAUAUUAUUUGGCCAUAAAAGGAAUGAAGUACUAAUAGAUGCUACAACAUGGGUGGACUUGAAAACAUGCUCAGUGAAGGAAGUCAGUCAUAAAACGAUGGUAUUGUCUGAUUCCAUUUACAUGAAAGGUCUAUAAUAGGCAAAUCCACACAGACACAGAAGGUAGAUGAGUAGUUGCCUAGGGUUGGGGAUGCAUGAGAAAGGUUAGAGCAGAUGACUAAGGGAGGCAGAGCUUUUUAGGAGUGAUGAAAAUGUUCUAAAAUUGAUUAUAAU
RNAcentral lists this long non-coding RNA (1363 nucleotides) under Equus caballus (horse). RNAcentral's name for it is "lncRNA (ENSECAG00000051869.1)". Lineage: Eukaryota; Metazoa; Chordata; Mammalia; Perissodactyla; Equidae. The record is from RNAcentral.